Molecule: ribosomal RNA, 494 nt
Filed under: uncultured bacterium
Lineage: Bacteria
Description: bacterial SSU rRNA
Rfam family: Bacterial small subunit ribosomal RNA
Source: RNAcentral
AUGAACGCUAGCGACAGGCCUAACACAUGCAAGCGAGGGGCAGCACAAGGAGCAAUCUGAGGUGGCGACCGGCGCACGGGUGAGUAACACGUAUGCAACCUGCCUGUAAGCGGGGAAUAACCCGUUGAAAGACGGACUAAUACCGCAUAAUACUAAAUUACUGCAUGGUAAUUUAUUUAAACAUUUAUGGCUUACAGAUGGGCAUGCGCAUGAUUAGCUAGUUGGAGAGGUAACGGCUCCCCAAGGCAACGAUCAUUAGGGGUUCUGAGAGGAAGGUCCCCACACUGGUACUGAGACACGGACCAGACUCCUACGGGAGGCAGCAGUGAGGAAUAUUGGUCAAUGGACGAGAGUCUGAACCAGCCAAGUCGCGUGCAGGAAGAAUGUCCUUAAUGGAUUGUAAACUGCUUUUGCAGGGGAAUAAAGUGCAUCACGUGUGAUGUUUUGUAUGUACUCUGCGAAUAAGGAUCGGCUAACUCCGUGCCAGCCGCAGC